GGCUGGUCCGAGUGCGGUGAUAUUUACAACAAAUUGAUCAGAAGUUAACAGAUUUAUUUGUUCCUCUUCCACUUCUACUGUUUCACUUGACUAGCCUUUA
Unclassified non-coding RNA from Chlorocebus sabaeus (green monkey), 100 nucleotides. It matches the Rfam family "Y RNA". From Rfam's summary of the family: Y RNAs are components of the Ro ribonucleoprotein particle (Ro RNP), in association with Ro60 and La proteins. The Y RNAs and Ro60 and La proteins are well conserved, but the function of the Ro RNP is not known. NCBI's taxonomy places the organism in Eukaryota, Metazoa, Chordata, Mammalia, Primates, Cercopithecidae. The record is from Ensembl.